RNAcentral lists this ribosomal RNA (489 nucleotides) under uncultured bacterium. RNAcentral's name for it is "partial 16S ribosomal RNA". It matches the Rfam family "Bacterial small subunit ribosomal RNA", at positions 355 to 836 of the family's 1533-position model. The record is from RNAcentral.
UAGGGAAUCUUCCACAAUGGACGAAAGUCUGAUGGAGCAACGCCGCGUGAGUGAUGAAGGGUUUCGGCUCGUAAAACUCUGUUGUUGGAGAAGAACAGGUGUGAGAGUAACUGUUCACAUCUUGACGGUAUCCAACCAGAAAGCCACGGCUAACUACGUGCCAGCAGCCGCGGUAAUACGUAGGUGGCAAGCGUUGUCCGGAUUUAUUGGGCGUAAAGCGAGCGCAGGCGGUUUCUUAGGUCUGAUGUGAAAGCCUUCGGCUUAACCGGAGAAGUGCAUCGGAAACCAGGAGACUUGAGUGCAGAAGAGGACAGUGGAACUCCAUGUGUAGCGGUGAAAUGCGUAGAUAUAUGGAAGAACACCAGUGGCGAAGGCGGCUGUCUGGUCUGUAACUGACGCUGAGGCUCGAAAGCAUGGGUAGCGAACAGGAUUAGAUACCCUGGUAGUCCAUGCCGUAAACGAUGAGUGCUAAGUGUUGGAGGGUUUCCG